GACGAACGCUGGCGGCGUGCUUAACAAAUGCAAGUCGAACGGAAAGGCCCUGCUUUGGUGGGUGGCUCGAGUGGCAAACGGGUAAGUAACACGUGAUUAACCUGCCCUUGACUUUGGGAUAACUUCGGAAAACUGGGGCUAAUACCGGAUAGGAGCUCCUGCUGCAUGGGGGGGGUUGGAAAGUUUCGGCGGUUGGGGAUGGACUCGCGGCUUAUCAGCUUGUUGGUGGGGUAGUGGCUUACCAAGGCUUUGACGGGUGGCCGGCCUGAGAGGGUGACCGGCCACAUUGGGACUGAGAUACGGCCCAGACUCCUACGGGAGGCAGCAGUGGGGAAUAUUGCACAAUGGGCGGAAGCCUGAUGCAGCAACGCCGCGUGCGGGAUGACGGCCUUCGGGUUGUAAACCGCUUUCGCCUGUGACGAAGCGUGAGUGACGGUAAUGGGUAAAGAAGCACCGGCUAACUACGUG
Molecule: ribosomal RNA, 468 nt
Filed under: uncultured bacterium
Lineage: Bacteria
Description: partial 16S ribosomal RNA
Rfam family: Bacterial small subunit ribosomal RNA
Source: RNAcentral